GGAGCGGUAGUUCAGUUGGUUAGAAUGCCGGCCUGUCACGCCGGAGGUCGCGGGUUCGAGUCCCGUCCGCUCCGCCA
This 77-nucleotide transfer RNA is filed under the name Halorhodospira halochloris. Its description in RNAcentral is "tRNA-Asp". It matches the Rfam family "tRNA". From Rfam's summary of the family: Transfer RNA (tRNA) molecules are approximately 80 nucleotides in length. Their secondary structure includes four short double-helical elements and three loops (D, anti-codon, and T loops). The record is from RNAcentral. RNAcentral also lists the same sequence under 70 other names. Lineage: Bacteria; Pseudomonadati; Pseudomonadota; Gammaproteobacteria; Chromatiales; Ectothiorhodospiraceae.